Molecule: long non-coding RNA, 503 nt
Filed under: Fragaria vesca (wild strawberry)
Lineage: Eukaryota; Viridiplantae; Streptophyta; Magnoliopsida; Rosales; Rosaceae
Description: long non-coding RNA (FVES_LNC003328)
Source: RNAcentral
GGUGCAGUUUUCAAUCCCGCUCGGUAGGGCUGAUAAUCCAUCACAGCGUUGAAUAAUCAAUUCCCGGAGAGAUGGAAGGCCCUGUGAGGAUGUUAGGCCAAUACUAGAUAAUGCAUCACAGCUGUCAAUCCACAGUUCCUGUAGAGAGGUGCAAUGAUCGAGUUGGCCAAUACUAGAUAAUGCAUUACACCAUUUAAUCUCCAAUUCCUGUAGAGAGGUGCAAUGAUCGAGUUGGCCAAUACUAGAUAAUGCAUUACAGCUGUUAAUCUCUAAUUCCUGUAGAGAGGUGCAAUGAUCGAGUUGGCCAAUACUAGAUAAUGCAUUACAGCUGUAAAUCUUCAAUUCCUGUAGAGAGGUGCAAUGAUCGAGUUGGCCAAUACUAGAUAAUGCAUCACAGCUGCCAACCCGCAGUUCGCGGAGGGAUGCCAUGCCGUGGGGAAUUGGAAUGAACCCAAUACUUGGACAAUAUUCGACCUUCAACUUCUCCAAGCAAGGGAACACCU